ACUCCGAGGCUGAAGCACGCACCUAGACGCUGCCUCGGCUAAAAGCACCAACAGGUGAGCUGAGCCCACAGGAAACUGAACGCAGCGUGGAAGCCUGGAGCCUCUCCCUUCAUCCGUGUCUGUCUGGUUUUGCUGUGGAUCACACCGGCCAACUUCUGCAGAUUGGCAUGCAUUGUAUCAAAACCUCCUCCAAACUGAAACUUGCCUUCCAGGAAGGAGGGGGGAAGUUUGUGAAACUCGUACGCAGGGGAAAGCAGAAACUUUCAAGCUGCCGGGACCUGUCCCCAGGGUUAGAGUCAGUAAACAGCUGCGGGGCGAGGAGCUGGGCAGCUGAGCUGUUGAGAAAAGAUCUGGACCCCUUGAGCUGACUGUAUACCUGGCAGAGGGCUCGGAGUCGGGCAGGGGGCAGCUUUCACGAGCCUCCCUCUCUGUUGGGAUGGGCUUGUUGGUGAUGCAACUGCAUUUGAGUUAUCCCUACUCUUCCUGCAAGCAGCCCCGGAGCUCAGAGGCUCAGCACAUUGAACUUUGAGAGAAUCAUUAUCGUCAUCUGUCUGUCAUCCCUAUUUAAGGUUGCUGUGGACUGUUCUGGGUGUACUGGAAACUUUGAGACUCUGCAGGGUGCAUGCAGACUACAACAUGAAAGGCUCUCAACUUUAAAAUAUUGGAAGCACGGAUCCACUCGGCAUCUCCAGCCAGAUAAAACCAGAUCUACAGACACUCAAAGCAAUUCUAUUACAGAGCAUCAGAGCCACACAGAAGAGGCCGGAGCCCUUGGCAGAGAUGAGGGACUGUGGAGAGGACAGAUUCGGGAGGAGGGCUGUGGAGACAGACGAUCCGUGACAGCGCUGGCCAUGCGAGUGGAGUGCCUGAGUUUGGAGCCAGGACGGAGUCUGCCUGUACACUCGGCACACCUACAGCAAGAAAGGAGGGAAACAGGAAAACUCCUGGAAGCUUCCUGGCCAGCUUAGCCUGGAGCAAAAGAGACCUCGCCUCCAACAAGCUGAGGGCCCACACCUCAAGUUUUCCUCUGAACUCUAUGCAUUGCUGCAGUGCUACAUUGUGCGCGCGUGCGCGCGCGCGCACACACACACACACACACACACAUGAGAAGGUGGGGAACCAGGAGAAAGUUCUACAACCUAAAGAUAGUACAAGACAGGACAAUCAAGACAGGAAUGUAGAUGGUGGUCACCAUCAGAAAGUCCCCUACUUCAGUCAACAGCCUAACAGACUAAAGAAAAGGCAUAUGAUUAGGUCAGGACAUACAGAAAGGAGCCUGAUAACUGUCUUUGCUGGAGUCCAGCAUUAAAGACGCGACAGAAGCAGGGAGCAGCCAUCCUCAUUUUCGGAAACUCUUUAUUUUCUAUUUUUAAAACGCUGUUCCUAUUAUUUUUGUUUCAGGGCUCAGGACCAAACUGAUCUCCCUGCAGACACGAGGCAGACAUUUUACCACCGAGCGGCUACUCCUGCCCCUGGGCAGGGUCCAGGCAGCCCAGAUCUGACCUCUGCGUGUUCUGAGAAGUCGAACCGAGGGCAUCAGGCUUUGUGUAGCAGGUGCUCUACCCACUGGGCCAUCCUCUCAGCAUUAGGACAUUUCCUUUCCCGGCAGGAGCUGUGAAGAUCUGGCCUAUCCGAUUGUGCCGACUGCCCCAGCUGUGAUCUUACUGACUUCUCAAACUUUAUGGCGCACAAAUCAGGAAUUCAAGUUUGUUCUAAGCAAGAUGAAUUACAGAUGACGUGAAAACUGUCAUUUCCAUUUUUAGGCUUUCUCUGGGACCAUGCUUCAACACUUACCAGGAUAGGGGCAUGAGUAUUAGAAAAAUAUAAAGCAAACAAAGACAUGAGUGAAAAUAAUAAAACAGAAACAUAAGAUAGUAUUGGGAGGGAGUUCCAACGAAUACUGAAAUCCCCGCAUUUAAUUUUCCACACAAUUUCAUACCACAGGGGGAAGAAGACAAAGGAUUACUUUAACAUGAUACCAAAGACAACCAGCACAGUUACUUGCUUCAAUACCUUGAGACGUCAAGUCAUUAGCAUUCUGUUGUUUAGGCAGUGAACCCACCCUAGACCAAGUAUCCUGAAGGCAGCCAUUCCCAAGGUCAAACCCCCAUCUCAAAAGAAGGAGCAGAGCAAGUAUGCUUGAUUUUCCCAGCCAUUGAUCUACCUGUAUGGGUCAGCUAACAUCAAGAGACCAAAUAACCACAACAUAGGUCAGGAUGUGUAGCCACGAUUUUGAACAAGCUGAAACUCUCUGGCCUUCAGACAAGGUGAAAAUAGGCUCACAUUUUGGGGCCUCCACAGGCUUUUAUUUCAUUGGUACUUUAUUUCUUCAACGCAGACUCACUGUGUAUUCCAGGCUGGCUACAGUCAUCACUGUCCUCCAACCUCAGCCUUGCAAAUGCUGGGACAUUAGUUCUGUCUGCUCUCUUUCUUGCUUCUAUUAUCUCUAAUAAACCACACUGGAUGCUUAAUUGGAUCAAAGCCACAAGGUUAGGCUCUCCAAACUGGUGCUUCUCUACAAUCCCUAGGUAACUGAUGUGGGAUUCCCCUCUGUAUGCUAUGAUUACCACUGGUAAAUAAAGGAACUGCUUUCGGCCUAUAACAGAGCUGUAGGGGAACAGAGCUAGGCAGGGGAAAACUAAACUGAAUGCUAGGAGAGAGAAGUGGAGUCAGAGAGAAGCCAUGUACCCCAACCGGAGACAGACACCGAAACUUUACCUGGUAAGCCACAGACAUGUAGCAAUACACAGAUAAAUAGAAAUGGGUUAAAUUAAUAAGUAAGCAUUAGCCAUUAAGAAGCUAGAGCCAAUGGGCCAAGUGGUGAUUUAAUUAACACAGUUUCACAGUUUCUGUGUGAUUAUUUCGGGGCUAAGCAGCCAGGAAGAAAACAAGCAGCCUCCUCCACAACAAGUUGACACUGUCAACAUGGGUAACUACAUCCACAUAAAACCUGAGAAAGCUUUUUUUUUUUUUAUUUUCGAGACAGGGUUUCUCCAUAGCUUUUUGGUUCCUGUCCUGGAACUAGCUCUUGUAGACCAAGCUGGCCUCGAACUCACAGAGAUCUGCCUGCCUCUGCCUCCCGAGUGCUGGGAUUAAAGGCGUGCGCCACCACCGCCAGGCUCUGAGAAAGCUUUUUUUUUUUUUUUUUUUUUAAGAAAGCUUUAAAAGGAAUUCUAGACACAAAAGAACAGAGUUAAGCAUGGCUUUUGGUAGCCACAAUUUUUUUUUCUAGAUGGGCCCAUGGCGAGCAGGGGCGGGCUACUUUAAAAGAGGUGCAAUAAAAGAUGCGUGGCUUUGAAACGGUGGCUUCCCAACCAUGGGUCACACUGCUAGCAUGAGCUCUGGCUCUUUCAGGAGGCCAAGCAUUUAAAUGGGGUUUGUAAGCAGCGUGUUACAAACUGCUUAAUUGCUCGACAUAAACCUGCUACACACUUAGAACUGGGGCAGCCUCCUCCACAACAGGUAACUUAUAGACUGCACCAAAUAGUGGCUUCACUGGCUUUUCAUAUUUAAGUGACAGUCAGUGCAGAAGCUGGCUCUCUGAGCAGCGAGAUGAAUAUUCAAUAUGUUGAAAAGGUAAAGUUUGCAUGUGUAAAGUGAAUUGUAUUUGCAUAAAUUUGGGCGUUGUGAACACCUAUGACAAACCUCAUAGGAUUAAAUUACUCUUUUUAGGUUUCCUGUUUUGUUUGUCUUCAUUUGUUUUUGGUGCUGUCUUCUGUUGAUCAGACUGCAUUUCUGAUAUCUGACCAGUGCCAUAGCACGGUCAAUGCAAUUGUAGAUUGACACCUUCCAACUGGCAUGAGGUCAUCAUCCACCUGGCAUGAGGUCAGGCGCCACCUUGGCUCCGGUAGUGCUCGAGUGGGCAAGGACAAGCCCAGCCGAAGGGUGGUCCUGGUAAGAAGCCAAGCACAGGUCUGUCCAUCAGUCCAGAGUCUCAGCACACUAAGGAAAAUGAAUGAUAGCAUUACAGCCCCACAGUGCACACGGUCCCCUCACCACUCACAGACUGGAAUAUCGUCUUCCAGGUGUCGUCUAUUCCAGCGUCCUUAGAGACGAAUUCCAGCUCCCCUGCUCAAGACUCCAGGUCCGAGCAGCAGACAUCCUGUCUGCAAUCCUCAGAGAACCAAAGCAGAUAGUCACUUUUAACUUCCUUAUUGUUAUUUUCUCUCUGUGCGAAGUAAAAUUACAGGUAAGUAUUUUGCCAUAUUAGCCUAGAACACACAGUCCCUGAGAGACAAAGCUGUUUCACAGAACAAUUUGGAAGAGGCCCAGGGUGUGAGUUCUGCUUGGGGCAGAGCCGACCUUCGGGUCCUUGUGCUCCAGGGUCCAUCCUGGCCACAGUGGCUCACUGGAUCAUCUUACUUCACAGAGAUGAUGCAAAAACCAACUGCUAAACGGGCAGGAAAGACUGCAGUUCCCCGGGAAUGGAUGGAUGGUAAAACCAUCAGUGAUUGACAUUACAGCAAUUAGGAUGGUGUCUGUUUCUGCCAGUGCAAACUGUGGUCCUGUUAAAUAUUAAAUAGGUAAAUAUUAUCGAUGAAUUAAUGAGCAGAUAGAAGAUUCACCCUAAAACAUUUCCAACAGAUUACUUUAUGCUUUUCAAUACUGGAAGUGAUGACAGGCACCGUCACUGCUGUUUUAAUUGUGGGUGCCGUCUCUAUAUCUGGUUAGCAACUUCUGAGUGCCGUGGGAGGCUGUGUGGAGCCUUUCCUAGCAGACUUUACUGCAGGCAGAUUUCCUGUUAGUUUUUAUUUUUGCCGUCACUGUGUGAGUACAGGUGCAUGCAUUCCUAUAGCACACUUAUGAAGGCCAGAGUUUUAUGUGAUUAUUUGGGUCAGGGCGGCCCGGAAACAAAGGAGCAGUCUCUGUUUACAGACAGUGUUUGAAAACUUAAGAUUCUAUGUGUGGGAAACAGGCUGUGUCUCACAUGGUGGCAGCUGUAACUCUACUUAGGAAUUGAGUGGUUUAUCCCAGUGAUAGCCAAGGAAGAGGCGUCCCUGGAGCAGCUGCCUCAGUACCAGACGGAAGCCUUUGGAGGUACAGGGGUUCAAAUCCUAUCUCUGACUUUUCUGCAUCUGAAACUCCUUGAGUAGGGACUGUGGUCUGUAGAAGACCUUCCAGGGAUUCUAGUCCUAAAUAACUUGGGGAGCAACUCCUUUCUGGCUGCAAAGCACAAGUCUAAAUCCAGUCCCCCCACCUCGCAAAUGGGGUACCUUCCUCUGUUUCCAUUUCUUCUGUAGAACCAGAGAAAUAAUACCCACAAAAGGGUUAGAUGAAUUGAUGCACAUAUUAAAACAAAUGACAGGGCACCCACAGUAGACCAAAAAGUGAAUGCACCCAAGUCUAGCUUACUAAGGUGAGGACCUGACUUUGUAAACUCCAUUUUAAAGAAGGGGCUUCACCUAAGCCAUAUAAUGAGCUGGGGGUGGAUGAUCUCAGCUCCAGAAAUGUGCUGCUGUAACAGAAACUUGAACAGAUACCCUAAAAAUGGCCAAUUAAGAUAGGGAGCAGGACCAUAAAAUUUAAUGAGGUCCAGAUGUUCUUGGGAGACAUCCUGUCCUUGAAGUUACCUUGUCGGUAAUUUAUGACUCUUUGUUAGCUUUUUGUGCCCAAAAACUGACCAAUGGUUUCAGAAACUACCUUAUCCUAUGUAGUCCUCACCCAAUCCCAAGACGAUAAAACUUGAACCCCCUUAACUAUGGCAUUUCCCUUUAAAAGUUCUCCCCUUCCCCGGGCUCAGGGCUGCACUUCCCUCAGUUACUGCGUUGAUGUGGUGGAGGUGGAGUCUAAACUCAAGUUUAGAAUAUUAUUAAAAUAAUAUUAUGGAUAUUAUUUUUAAAAAACCCUCAUGUAAUUUGCAUCGGAAAUCCGACUGUGAAUUCAUUCGGGAACCAGAAACUUAGGCAUAACAACUAAAUCAGAGUUUAUGGGGGUUAUUUAGAGAAACAUGGUGCCUUGAAGGCAGCUACGUCACUGGAAAGGUCAUCCUAGCAUGGAAGACAACUCAGGACAGCUACAUCCUGGAGUUUUCAGGCAGCUUAGCUAAUAGUCUCAUCUCCCAUUGUAACUGUUACUGCUUAUAGACCCCCAGGAGGGGUCGUUGUGAGUCUUGUAGCUUCAGGACCUUCCUGAGGCUUGAUUUACUUUCAUCUAGAACCUCAAUGGUAUUGUAAGGAGGCCAGUUGUUGGUUCUCGGCUGCUCAGCCCCAAAAUAAGCACACAGAAACUAUAUUAUUUCAAACACUGCUGGCUCUAUUAGCUCUAACUUCUUAUCCACUAACUCUUACAUAUUAAUUUAAGCCAUUUCUAUUAAUCUGUGUAUCGCCACAAGGCAGUGGCUUACUUGGUAAAGUUCAGGCAUCUGUCUCGGAGGGGCUACACGGCUUCUCUUUGACUCCUUUCUCCCAGCAUUCGGUUUGCCCCACCCCACCCCCGCCCCACCUAGCUCUGCUCUACCCUAUCAACAGGCCAAGGCAGUUACUUGAUUAGCCAGCAGUAUUCACAGCAUCCAGGGAGGAAUCCCACAUCAUAAGGGAAUGUUUGUCGUGGCAGGAAUUGGCUACUCAGCACCGAUGUGAGCACACUGAACGGUGAGCAAGGGAGGUGGUGGCUCAGAAACUUUCAGGGUGAAAGCGAUGCUCAAGAGGUUGAUGUUUGAGAAUUGCAUCUUGUUCUGCUGUGUCAAAGGGAUCUGUUUGGAGUCGUCUGGUGAGUGUGACAGCGGAGGCAGCAGAGUGGGGUCUCGACGCUGGGGAGCAGCGGAGCUGUGCAGCCUGUCAGGCGCAUUCUCACGCAUGGAUAGCUGGAAAGCACCCUGGGUCUCAGGAUCAAGGGAGCAUUGAAGUUGGCAUCCAGGAGCAGAUGCCGCCUGGGGUGAGGGGCAUUCGAUUAGAGGCCGGCACCUGUGAGGGAGCAGUGGCAGGCCUGGAGGGUAGACCCAGGGAUCACCAGCUUAGUGGGAAGCCCCAUCGGUGUCCCCCAGCUGGCCCCGUGAUCACCAGGUGCCAGUUCCCCAGGAGGGCCGUGGCCCUCAGGCCAGGUAGCCUCUGAGACGUGGCAGGCAGUUUCUAAGUAAGUUGGGUAUCGGUUCAUCCUUGGAGGAGGAUCUGGAUGGCUCACUUCCUGCCUACUACAGUCAGCAUGGGAAGAUGCAAACUAGAGAGAGAGGAAGUCCCCAGAAAGGCUGUGGCUAAGAUGGAGAGCCAAUGGGGUAGGAGACUUCUCUUUGCCUUUUAGCAACCAGACCAAACACCGAAGAUCACUCUUGGAUCCUGGUACCAUCCUUUUUUCUUUUUUGAUGUUUAUUAUUCUUAGAUGAUUUGGUACAUGUAUAUAACGCACGUCGUUCCCUACCCCAUGGCCCCCCAAUUCCUUCUUCCCAACAAGUCCCUCUCUUAUUUUAAUGCCUUUGUGUUUUUGUUUUCUUGGGACCUACUGAGUUUAACUGGAGUUGUGGGUAUGCAGAGGGGAGAGGGGUCACUGACUGGAGCAGAGCAAUUUGCCAGUGGCUGCGCCCCUAAGAAAAUGCCUCCCCUUCCCCCAGCAUCUGUUAACUGCCAAUAGCUUCUCAAAGGAGAAUGGGCCCUCAAAGACCCUCCUUGGUUCAGGAUGGAAUGUUAAGACUCAAUGGAUCGGUAGCAAUUACCUCUUGAAAUUUUAUUUAUUUUAUUGUGUGUGUAUGGGUGUUUUGCCUGCAUGUAUGUGUGUGUACCACACAUAUAUAAUGUCCAUGGAGGGCAGAAGAGGGUGUCAUACUCCCCGGGACUAGAGUUACAUGGUUCGAUGAUUGUGACCUGCCAUGUGGGUGCUGAGAGUUGAAUCUGGAUCUUGUGGAGCGGCAGCCAGGUGCUGAACUAUCUCUUCGGCCCCUAGAUUCAUGGAUUUUAUUUUUAUCCAACUUGUUCCUCUUGAGUAUAUGGAUGUGUAUGUUUAUGGGGGUGUACUUAUAGUCAACUGUGCGUGCAUGUGUGUGCGUGUGUGUGUGCUGAGGCCAGGAAAACAAAAACUUUGGGUGUCAUUCCUUAGGUACCUCCCAUCUUUUUAUUUUAACCUUGAUGCCCAUCAAGCAGGCUAGGCUGGCCAGGGAUGUAUCCAGCUCUGCUUCACUGGUACUGGGAUUACAAGCACUUAAAAACACAAAACAGGUUUUCGGGACUAAAUUUAGGUCCCCAGGCUUGCAAGGCAAGCACUUUACUGACUGAGCCAUCUCCACCGCUCUGCCCUGGCCCUCUUGAGUCCACCAGAUACUCUGGGUUGAAGAGACCACCCUGUCCAUACUUCUUAACAGAUGGAGCUGACCAGAGACAUGCCCCUGCUGAAGAACCCUGCUCCUCAUCCGGGAACUGCUCUCCAAAGGACUCAGCACUGUAUCAUGUGCAACAAGCAGAAGAAUUCCAGUGUCGAACCAAGGAGGGAAGAGCCGUGUUCGGGUGAAAGAUAAGUCAGCAUGGUUUUCAGAGCGAGCUGCCUGCGUGGCUCCCUCCCAAAAGACGAUGAGUCACCCGUAUUGCCUAACACAGUUUUACUACAUUGGUAAAAUCCAUAAAGUCUCACAUGAGGUGUAUGGUUAGCAAACGAAGAUGAAAUGAGGCUCUAUUAAUGAAACACAGGGAGAGUCUAUGUGAGCCGGCGCCAUCGCCUUGACUUACUGUGAUACCAGUGCUCUCGACAGCUCUCUGUCACGUUCACAGCAUGAGCCUGGCACAGAUGCAAGCAAACCACUGUUCUUAAGUUGGCACGCCACCUCCUUGGCCAUGAGAUAGAUCCCAAAAUUUUGCCACAACUCUUCCUGGUCCAGCUACUGUGAAGUCUUUAAUUAUGAAUCGCCCUGCCCGCUGCCUGGCAACGCAUUAGGUCAAAGUCAUGGCUCGUGUGUACAGUCUGUUCUGCUCUCGUCUCUGCCCGUAGAUACAGAAGGAGCCGAUUCCCUUGUGGCUGGUUGUUCUCAGCGCAUUUCUGUUGUUGUGACAGAUACUCUGACCAAAAUCAACAGUGGGGGAGAAAGUCGAUGACCUGUAAUUCUAGGUCACAGUCCAUUAUCGAGGGAAGUCAUGCCUGCCUGCUUGUUGCUACACAGUGCCUUACCUCUGACCAAGGAAGUCACUCUUCAGAGCCAAUGAAGUGUGGCAGGAACACUGAGGAUGCUCCUUGCUGGCUGGCUCACAGGCUGGCUUAAACCCAGCUAGCUUUUUUGGAUUUUAUUUUGGAUUUAUUUUUACCAUUUUAUGUGUAUGAAUGUUUUGCCUGCAUGUAUAUUUGUGUACCACAUUUAUACCUGGUGCCCAAGGAGGUGACAGGCCUCCACGUGGGUGCUGGGAAUUGAACCCAGGUUCUUCCUAGGCAACAAUAAGAAGUUAGCUAGCGUUCUUAAACAGCUACCUGCCUAAGGAAUAGUGCUGCCCAGGGGCUUCACUGUCCUAUACCAAUUAACAAUCAAGACAAACCUACACAACACACACAUGCAUACACGUACACACAUGCUUACACAUGCACCCACAGGCCAGUCUGAUCUAGGCAACUCCUCAACUGAGAUUCUCUUCCCAGAUAAUCGUAGAUUGUGUCAAACUGGCAUUAAAACUGACCAUGACUCUAAAACACACACACCCACACACACACAUAAAAUGACUGUCCUCUACCUCCUGAGCAGUGACCAGCAACAAAGAGAAGGCCCUCACCAUCUCAAGCAGCCACCGCUGUUCUAGACUCGGCCCUCAUAACAUUCAUUCCUUCUGCCCAUGUGGCUGAGCAAGUAGCCAACACAGACUCAAAUAGCCGAACCCAUCUCCGGUGCCAUAGCUGGAUCUUAAAUAUCUCUCUAAUGCCUCGGGGUCAAUGGCUUGGUUCUUAGGUCUACCGGGAGGUAAAGAAAUCUUUGAGGGGUGGAGCCUAGAGGAUGGAAGUUACAUCAUUGGGAGUGUGUCCCAGGAUAGUUGCUCUUCACACACCUUUUUCUCUUUCUCUCAUUUGCUUCCCAACACGGUGAGUUAGCCACACCCAACACACACAUACACACACCACACACACUCCACACACACACACAUGCACACACACACCACACACACUCACAUCACACACAUACACAUACACUCACACACACACACACACACCACACACACACACUACCUCCCAUGUUCUCCCUUCAUGACCUGCUGCAUCACCUCAGGUCCAUAGCACAGGGGCCUCCUGAUCAAGGCUCAGAACCUAUAGAAACGUGGAGCAAAACAGCCUUUCCUUGGUUAGAUGUGGUGACCCACAUCUGUGAUCCCGGCUCUCAGCCGGUGGAGGAAGAAGGAUCAGGAGUUCAAGGCCAUCCUCACCCCAUAGUGAGUUCAAAACCAUUGUGGGCUACAUAAGAUCCUGUCUCUGAAAACUAAGCAAACAACAGAAGCAAUUCCCCCCAACUCUUCUCCUUGAAAAGUGAUUGUCUUGGGGGUUGUUAUUGCCACAAAGAUACAGGCCCAUGUUGUACACAUGGCACUAACAGGCCUCUGAGCAUGCCCGCGUGGCUGUGGUGAGCCUGAGCUGUAACGAGGCUUCUCUUCCCUGUAGAAGGAAGCCUGUGACAGUCCACCCACCUCAAGCAAUGCACCUGACACCGGUGGCUUCUCUGCUGCUUGACUCUUUGUCAGGUUUGAAGGCUUCAUUUUAGAUGGUUGUGCUGUGGAGAGCUCUGGGCUUGGCAAAUUAGAUGCUUCUCAAAAGUUUCCUUUGUUGGGUUGUAAAAAUUUUCAGUUAUCUGAAAUCAUGAGGUUUAGAGUUCCCUCCCCAUUCUAAGAGCAAAAGGACAAAGUUAAAUGUCUUUGCGUGAUAAUUUUAGAAUUUAAAGGAAGGGUCCCAUGCCCUGUGGUAGGGGUGGGGAGACUUUCCAAGAAUACACCGCAGGGUUAAGACAGGGUUGUACCAGAAAGCAGGGAAUUAACAAUUUGGAACUUUUCCACAGAUGAAACCUUGAAGCCAAUUUGGAGCAUUCUAAGCACAAAUGUGACUUUGACAUUAACCUUAAUUGAAGCUAAUUUAUUUGUGGUUAUAAGACAGUUCAAAGCAUGAGAUUUUACAGGGGUGAAACUAUCCGCCCAGUUGACCUUGGCCACAUUCUAGGAUACCUUGAGCAGGACAUCAUAGCGAUGACAUCCUGGAGUUAGACAGUGGCCAUGCUGCAGUUUUGGGCCUCAUAGGACAAUGGCUAAGUGAGCCAGAAUCUCUAAGUGGGUUACUUCAAACUGUGUGUGUGUGCGUGAGUGUAUGCAUGUGUGUGUGUGUGCAUGUGUGCUUGCUUGCAUGUGUGUGUGCGUGCGUGCAUGCAUAUGUGCAUGCUUGCAUGCAUGCGUGCAUGCGUGCGUGCGUGCGUGCGUGUGUGUGUGUGUGUGUGUGUGUGUGUGUGUGUUGUGAGGGCUCGGAUGACCCACUGGAGCAAGGAGGCAGGACACUAACUUAUCUAAGGAUGCUGAUUCUCCCUGACAAUUUAGUGUGUACUCUGCCCUCUAAAACACAGUAACUAACCAGGUGUGGUGGCCCUGACUAGCAAUUGCUAGCACAAUCUUAAGAUGGUGAGGCUCAGAUAUUUAGAGGUCAUUGUCUUCCACAUGAAUUUCUUCUUUUGCAGACUUAUUGCACUUAUAUUGCGCUGGGUUCUUAAUGUUUGAGAAAUAAUGCAUGCAUCAGAUACCUAAGUGUGCACAUGCUGUUCCUAAAGCGUACUUGCGUAUUUCAUCCCUUUAACUAGCAAGAGGGUUCCCUGACUGCCUGCGGAGUUCCGCAGUCACAAGAAAAUACUGUGCUCCGUAACUGAUGGACCUGAUCAUUCGCCGCAAUCAGGUCACCUCCCAUAAAAUUUAAUCCUGUCACUGAGAAAUUAGAUAUCUUUUAAUGCUACAAUCAGUGUUGACAUUUUUCAUAAAUUGUAUUACAUUUAUUCAUAUGGAUGAUGUAUUUGUGUGGAGGUCAGAGGACAACUUGUAGGAGACCUUCCUCUCCUUAUGCCACGUGAACCCAUGGAUUGGAGUGUCUUCAGGCUUGACAGCAAGCACCCUUACGCCCCUGAGGCCAUCAGUGCUGGAAUCUUUUAAAUGGUACAUUAUGUUUGAGAAGCAACGUUUUUUUUCCUCACUUGCAAGUCUGGGACCUGGAACUUCUUUGUUGACCUUCAUGAGUUGAAGAACCUGAAAAAGUAGUUUCCAAGUGAAAAAAAAUAUUGUCCUAUUGAUUCAGUUAAGUGUAGACUCAAAGGAAUUUAUUUUAUUUUUUAUGACAUCAGUUCUGAUGACUGACUAAACCCCACUGUGUGACAUGGUGUUUAGAGUUGGAUUGAAAACCCUUAGGGCCCACCUUGUCAUAUCUACUGCAUGCUACAUGGUAGUAGAGACCCUUGCAGAAUACACUAGUUAGGAAAAUGAAGUUCACCAACCCAAACACCCAAAACACUCCAGCUAAUGGUUAAAAAUUUCAACAUAACUAUAAAAACACUGACUUUUUGGUGAUGUGAAAAUAUUAGAAAUGUUUAAAGAGUACAAAUACAACUGAGGGGGAAAAAAGAAAAAUAAGAAUUCUCAAAAGAGGCACUAAAGACGCAAUAUUUGUAUCACACACAAGCCAUUUGACCUCACUGGUAACUAAAGAACUAAGUUAAGGUGAGCUUGUGCUUUCUCUGUAAUGGCCAAUUAAAAUAAAUUACCCAAAGCAGGUAGGAAAAGGGAGCAGGCCCACCUUGGGCGCUGCACCACAGGCCGUGGCUCAGAGCUGACAUUGCCUAGGGACAGCAUGCCUAGAGCAAGCCUAUGAGUCUGUUUGUGAUUCAGCUAUGGUGCAUCUAAGAUUCCAUCCAUCCAUCCAUCCAUCCAUCCAUCCAUCCAAACAAACAAACAAACCACAAAACCCACUGCGAGUCUGCCCAGAAAUCUGAGUACAUUCACACCAGUGUUUUCUUGAAAAACACAGCCAACUUACAGUCACUGCUUCUACAUGACAGCUGCUAUUCUAUUCCAAAACUCUACUUUUGCUUAUGUGUGAGCAGGUGCACGAGAAUGAGGGUGCACAGGGGUGCACAUGUGUACAAGUUCAGAGGGCAACUCGGUGUUAGUUCCAGGAAUGUGUCCACCUCAUUUGAGGCAGGGUCUCUCCUUGGCCUGGAGCCCACCAGUUAGGCUAGUGUGGCUGGCCCGUGAGGACCAGGGACCCUCUUGUGUCUACCUGUCUCCAACUCCCCAGAGCUGAGAGUUUUGCAUGCCCCACUGCGCCUGGCCUUUUUAUCUGAGUGCGAGACAAGCACAUUAGUUCGUGCAUUUUUUCUCCAGCCCCUAGUAUUUUUGUUUGGCUGCUCUUGUUUGGGGGGGGGGGCAGGGUGUGCAUCCACCAGAGCAGGCAUGUGAAAAUCAAAAGACAACCUCUGGGAGUCAGUUUCCUCCUUCCAGUACACAGGUCCUGGGAUUAGAACUUCAGCUGUCAGGCUUGUCUGCAAGUACUUAAACCCACUGGGCCAUCUGACAGUACCCCUCUCCCCCAAAGCUAGUGGGUAACUCUUAUCUCAGCUUUGCUGAAGUGUACCAAAUGCGUUAGACAGACACCAGCCACCCCCACUCAAAACCCGCUACAGUAACGGGGAGAAAGGAAAAACAGGUUGCUUCCGAUGAGGACAGGUAAAGUCCACUAUAGGGAUUCAACCACUGGAUUAAUGAGACCAGCACGAUUCAGACUGUGGUGACGUGUUUGAAACACGUUCCUGAUGUGUGACCGAGUGAGGAGAGGUGACCCAGAAGGUUACAUGCUCUAUUGCCCAGCCUGCUCCAGCAGGCUUGUGGUCACAACGAAACAGGAGGAUGGUGAGCAUCUGCCUCAGACUAGAAAGUAGAAAAAAGGGCUGGGAGGUAAUUCCGUGGUAGAGUGCUUGCCAGGCAUGUGUGAGUCCGGUUCAGUCUCUAGUACCGAGCCCAGCAGCCCGCCCCCCAAAUCACAGUAUUACUAGAUGAUCCAAUAAAACGUUAAUAGGACCUGGCUGCAGAUGCAGACGUGCAGCGGGGCUUCCUUUGUUCUGGGUACUUCUCACAUUCCACGCUCCCUUUAAUCAUAGGUAUUACUGUUACUAAAAUAACAUGAAAGCACCAUCUGUGCUGCCAGCCCCGCUCCCAGCGUGUGUUCUAACGUGGCAGAGCGGUGCGUACUACUGGAAGAAUGUCGAGCCCCGCAGUCUGGUGACUUCAUACCCAGACCGUUCUCUGUAUUUUCCUUCAACUAAUAAAAUGUUGAAACCUUUCUUCCCGUACCAAAAAUGCAUUACACCAUCUUCAUCGUCUAAGAAUCAAGAUAUGUACAUGUUAAAAUGAAAAUCCAACGGAAGGGUACUAAGUGUGGAAACCAUGCCUUAGCCCCACCCUAGAGCCGUUCUUCCCAGCAGCUACCCCCUCUCCAUGAGAAGAAUCCAGAGCAAAGUAAAGCCUAUCAGGACAGCAAUCGAGAAGACCCAUCCUGCUCUGCGGCUAGGUGACCUGCUGCUUAUGGGCUCCUCAGCAACCCAGUUGUCACUCUGUGUCUCCGGUGUAAUGGCUGACCCAUCGGGUGAACUGUUGGGUCUGGCAUGGUUUUCUUCUCCUGUUGCCGUGGAGAAGGAAGAAAGGAGAAACUUUGGUCCCAUCCAAACGUGAGAUAGGUUUCACAUGGGCACUGUAAGGCAGCGCAGGGGAGGCAGCCAUCUUCUUAGACUGAAAUCCCAGCUCCAUCCCUCGGGGCCCAGGGAACACCAAGGGGUGAGGAGAAGCUAGAGAACCCCAUGUUCCCAUGGAGACUGCUUUGAACUUGUCCCCUGUAUUCUGUAGCACGUGGCAGUCAGUGACCUUGUACUUGUACAAAAGGAUAUAUUUUCCAACAUAUUUAUAUUUUGCAUAUGUAUGUAUAUAUUCCUAUAUGUUUAUUCCCUAUAUAUAUAUUCCCAAUAAAAUACAUUUUCCCAA
Molecule: long non-coding RNA, 14939 nt
Organism: Alexandromys fortis (reed vole)
Lineage: Eukaryota; Metazoa; Chordata; Mammalia; Rodentia; Cricetidae
Exons: 5
Source: RefSeq, a predicted model, not a curated record